RNAcentral lists this ribosomal RNA (449 nucleotides) under uncultured bacterium. RNAcentral's name for it is "partial 16S ribosomal RNA". It matches the Rfam family "Bacterial small subunit ribosomal RNA", at positions 28 to 523 of the family's 1533-position model. The record is from RNAcentral.
GACGAACGCUGGCGGCAUGCCUAACACAUGCAAGUCGAACGAAGCCUUCGGGCUUAGUGGCGCACGGGUGCGUAACGCGUGGGAAUCUGCCCUUGGGUUCGGAAUAACAGUUAGAAAUGACUGCUAAUACCGGAUGAUGACGUAAGUCCAAAGAUUUAUCGCCCAGGGAUGAGCCCGCGUAGGAUUAGCUUGUUGGUGAGGCAAAGGCUCACCAAGGCGACGAUCCUUAGCUGGUCUGAGAGGAUGAUCAGCCACACUGGGACUGAGACACGGCCCAGACUCCUACGGGAGGCAGCAGUGGGGAAUAUUGGACAAUGGGCGAAAGCCUGAUCCAGCAAUGCCGCGUGAGUGAUGAAGGCCAUAGGGUUGUAAAGCUCUUUUACCCGGGAUGAUAAUGACAGUACCGGGAGAAUAAGCUCCGGCUAACUCCGUGCCAGCCGCCGCCGUAA